Molecule: long non-coding RNA, 264 nt
Organism: Bombyx mori (domestic silkworm)
Lineage: Eukaryota; Metazoa; Arthropoda; Insecta; Lepidoptera; Bombycidae
Exons: 3
Source: RefSeq, a predicted model, not a curated record
GGUAUGACAAGAAUGCAAGGAACAUAGAAUGGCUUGUUCGUCGAAUUGCUCGUACUAAGAAAAGAAAAUGGAGUAGUUAGACGAGCGUAACAGUGGUGACGAAGCCGAAUGGUACUUGGCAAAAAGGGCCUCUGGAAGACCGUGGAUGUUCGCAGUAGUUCUAGCUAGUCUAGACUAUUCAAGUUUGCUCCAAGAACCUUUUCCUCAAGAUUUUAUAUUUUAAGUCCACUAAUGGAUUUGCGCCAAUAGAUUUUAUUUACCAAA